Lolium perenne is the source of this 763-nucleotide long non-coding RNA. RefSeq lists it as uncharacterized. The record is from RefSeq and is a predicted model, not a curated record. Lineage: Eukaryota; Viridiplantae; Streptophyta; Magnoliopsida; Poales; Poaceae.
CUUAUUGCUGUUGAAGGAAACAUGACAGGAAGUGGAGAAUGAUGGAUGUUCCUCUCAGCUCAAAGCAUGGAGACCAGAGGGAUGUAGAGAAUGAUGGAUGUUUCUCUCGCGGGCUUCACAUCGGUUGGUAGGAGAGGUGGCUGCAGGGGAAGCUCCAGCAGCGGCGGCGUCAACGUCAAUCCAUUGGUGAGGGGAAUACAAAGGUGAGGAAUUUAACUAUGUUGUUUAGUGAUUUUCAGAGCUAGUCUGAAUUUGAAUGGAAUCUGAUUUUCAGUGUUUCUAGUCUGAAUGUGAAUUAUGUGUUUGUAUGCGUUAGAAUGGAUUUCAUGUGCAGCAGACCCCAACGAGCACUCGUGGUCAUGCUUCUUUGGAGAUUCUUCAUAUGUGGAGAGGUGACUGGUCUCAUACAAUUUACACAGUGGGUAAAAUUUCUGUGAACAGAAUGUGAAGAAGAAGGAUGCCAGGGUGAUCUUAGAGAAGGGAAAAAAAGAUAUAUUAUGUUGGAGAAGAAAGCUCAGCAGCUGAAAAGCUGGUAGUAGUGUUAAUGAAGCAAGAAAAGAAGAUGAUCCAGAGAGCAUAUAGAGCAGAAAUGAGAGAGAUACGAAGAGAUGGGCUUUGUAAUUCUAGACGUAGGUUGUGCAUCUAUGUAUGUUUUUUGUGCAUUGUUCGUCAGCGGCAUUGUUUGACUUGGCUGAGAUGUGUAAACGGUAAUGUGCUUCAGAAACAGAUUUUCCUUGAAUAAAUAAAAAAAGUUGAGGUGCAA